Molecule: ribosomal RNA, 911 nt
Filed under: uncultured bacterium
Lineage: Bacteria
Description: bacterial SSU rRNA
Rfam family: Bacterial small subunit ribosomal RNA
Source: RNAcentral
CAGAACGAACGGUGGCGGCGUGGAUAAGACAUGCAAGUCGAACGGGAUCUUACUGGUUGCAAUAUUAGUGAGGUUCAGUGGCGCAAGGGUGCGUAACACGUGGGCAAUCUGCCCGGGGGAGCGGGAUAGCUCGGCGAAAGCCGAAUUAAUACCGCAUAAGACUAUUGGAAGCAUUUCCGAGAUGUCAAAGGUGGCGCAAGCUGCCGCUCCUGGAUGAGCCCGCGGCCUAUCAGCUAGUUGGCGGGGUAACAGCCCACCAAGGCUAUGACGGGUAGCUGGUCUGAGAGGACGACCAGCCACACUGGAACUGAGACACGGUCCAGACACCUACGGGUGGCAGCAGUCGAGAAUUUUUCUCAAUGGGCGCAAGCCUGAAGGAGCGACGCCGCGUGGAGGAUGAAGGUCUCCGGAUUGUAAACUCCUGUCAUUUGGGAACAAAUACCUGAUCUAACUGAUUAGGAACUGAUAGUACCAGAAGAGGAAGAGACGGCUAACUCCGUGCCAGCAGCCGCGGUAAUACAGAGGUCUCAACCGUUGUUCGGAUUCAUUGGGCGUAAAGGGUGCGUAGGCGGUCGCGCAAGUCGGAUGUGAAAUCUUGGGGCUCAACCCUGAAACUGCAUUCGAUACUGCGUGGCUUGAGUACUGGAGAGGAGACUGGAAUUUACGGUGUAGCAGUGAAAUGCGUAGAUACCGUAAGGAAGACCAGUGGCGAAGGCGAGUCUCUGGACAGUUACUGACGCUGAGGCACGAAGGCCAGGGGAGCAAACGGGAUUAGAUACCCCGGUAGUCCUGGCAGUAAACGGUGCACGUUUGGUGUAGGCGGAUUCGACCCCGCCUGUGCCGGAGCUAACGCGUUAAACGUGCCGCCUGGGAAGUACGGUCGCAAGAUUAAAACUCAAAUGAAUUGACGG